This 1105-nucleotide long non-coding RNA is filed under the name Homo sapiens (human). Its description in RNAcentral is "non-protein coding MIR124-2HG:2". Lineage: Eukaryota; Metazoa; Chordata; Mammalia; Primates; Hominidae. The record is from RNAcentral.
AGAGAAAGGAGAGAGAGAACGCAGAGGGAGGGAGGCAGGGAGGGAGACCAAACCCCCGCUUUACUGCGUUGAAAGCUUCUGAAUUUCAAGCAGAAAGUAGAAGGAGCUCCAAAGGCAGUGAGCGUCUUUCCUUGGGCUGCGUGUGCCGAGCGUAGACAAUGAAAAUCUUCAUCCCCCUCCCCCAUUCUACUAGGCUACAAGAUUCUUGUUUUCGUUCCUUCUCACCGGUGGAAGAUGUGUAAAAUCAAAGAUGUAGAGGUGUGUAGUGAUUUUUUUAAAAGCCAACUAACCACCGCACGGACUGCGACGCGGAUUACCCGAGCGCACGCCGGCUGGGCGCAUUCUGGGGUCUCUGCGCAAGACCAGCUCUCAGCUCUCUCUCCUUUCCUCGGACUCUGGAGCGGGAGCGGGCCUUUCCCUCGGGUCGACCACGCCGUAGGGGACGCCGUGAAAAGAGCCGUCGCGCCCGCUGCCUCCUGCCCGCUGCGCAGAGGGCUCCGCCCGUAGAGGUCAACUUCCCUCACCCUUUUCUCUCUCCUGCUUGCCCUCCCUCCGCCCGGCCCAGGCGCUUCCAGCCCCAGACUGUGGCCACUGGCUGAGGAGUGCGAGUCGGCUGCGCUGCCCUGAGCCUAAUCCCUCUUCCGGGCCCAGACCCGAGGUCCGCGCUCCUGGGCAGUGGGGAAGCUUUAGUGAGCAGGCUUUUCUCUCCGCAGCAAACUUGUAGCCAGACCAGAUGGGCCGCCCAGCUCUCUCGGGACUAGGCAGGUGCGGAUGAGUUAAUUUUUCCGCAUUACAAAGAAAGAUGACCCAGCCCGCCCUUGGACUCUCUUUUCCCAAAAUCUCCCAACCAAACCCGCGGUAACGUUAUCAAAGGACACAGAGCCCAGGCAUAUCUGUGUGUUUAUCUUACAGGCACACACGCAUGGUUUUCUCUUUUAUAUGCUAGAUUUCAUCCCUGACAGCAGAAAAUGAUUGGCAAUGGUUAUGACGGAGAACAUGCAAUAGCGUGGUCCUUAAAAACCUGCCAUUCCUUACAAGUGCCUUAGAAAGGAUUCAGGGCGAACCAACUGGGUUAAUUGCAUUCAGUAAAAUAACACGAUUACAA